Molecule: ribosomal RNA, 162 nt
Filed under: uncultured Bacteroidota bacterium
Lineage: Bacteria; Pseudomonadati; Bacteroidota
Description: uncultured Bacteroidetes bacterium partial 16S ribosomal RNA
Rfam family: Bacterial small subunit ribosomal RNA
Source: RNAcentral
CCUACGGGAGGCAGCAGUGAGGAAUAUUGGUCAAUGGGCGAGAGCCUGAACCAGCCAUCCCGCGUGCAGGAUGACGGCCCUACGGGUUGUAAACUGCUUUUAUGUACCAAGAAUAGGCACUACGUGUAGUGUUAUGACGGUAGUACAUGAAUAGCAUCGGCU